AGAGUUUGAUCCUGGCUCAGGAUGAACGCUAGCGGCGCGCUUAAUGCAUGCAAGUCGAGCGAUGAGGCCCUCUUCGGGGGGUACAUCAGCGGCAGACGGGUGAGUAACACGUAGGUGAUCUACCCCAGAGACGGGGAUAACGGGUGGAAACAUCCGCUAAUACCGGAUAGGCUUGUUCGGUCAAAGGGACAAGGAAAGGCUCCGGCGCUCUGGGAGGAGCCUGCGGCCCAUCAGCUAGUUGGCGGGGUAACGGCCCACCAAGGCAGAGACGGGUAGGGGGUGUGAGAGCAUGGCCCCCCACAAUGGGACUGGAACACGGCCCAUACUCCUACGGGAGGCAGCAGCAGGGAAUAUUGCACAAUGGACGGAAGUCUGAUGCAGCGACGCCGCGUGGAUGAAGAAGGCCCUCGGGUUGUAAAAUCCUUUACAGGGGGAAGAGGAAGGACGGUACCCCUGGAACAAGUGUCGGCUAACUACGUGCCAGCAGCCGCGGGUAGACGUAGGACACAAGCGUUAUCCGGAUUUACUGGGCGUAAAGCGUCUGCAGGCGGACAGGUAAGUUGGGCGUNGAAGCUCCGGGCCCAACCCGGAGGAGUUCGUUCAAUACUGCGUGUCUAGAGGGUGUCAGAGGGGAGUGGAAUUUCCGGAGUAGCGGUAAAAUGCGCAGAGAUCGGAAAGAACACCCAUGGGCGAAGGCAGCUCCCUGGGGGCACCCCUGACGCUNAGAGACCAAAGCUAGGGGAGCGGACAGGGAUAGAGACCCUGGUAGUCCUAGCCUAAAACGAUGGAUGCUGAAUGUGGGGCCAUAGCGCUCCGUGUCGAAGCGAACGCGUUAAGCAUCCCCGCCUGGGGACUACGGCCGCAAGGUUAAAACUCAAACGAAUUGACGGGACCCCGCACAAGCAGCGGAGCGUGUGGUUUAAUUCGAUGUUACACGAAGAACCUUACCUGGGUUUGACAUCUAGGUGGUAGUGAAGCGAAAGCGGAGCGACCCUUCGGGGAGCCUAGACAGGUGCUGCAUGGCUGUCGUCAGCUCGUGCCGUGAGGUGUCGGGUUAAGUCCCGUAACGAGCGCAACCCUUGCCCUCCGUUAUACGUGUCAGAGGGGACUGCCGGCGGUAAGCCGGAGGAAGGUGGGGAUGACGUCAAGUCAGCAUGGCCUUUAUAUCCAGGGCUACACACACGCUACAAUGGCCAGUACAAAGGGCAGCGAAGCCGCGAGGUGGAGCGAAUCCCAGCAAAGCUGGUCGUAGUUCGGAUUGCAGGCUGCAACCCGCCUGCAUGAAGCCGGAGUUGCUAGUAACCGCGCGUCAGCCAUAGUGCGGUGAAUACGUUCCCGGGGUUUGUACACACCGCCCGUCACGUCAUAGGAGUCGAUAACGCCUGAAGCCGGUGGCCUAGCUCAAAAGAAAAGGCGCUGUCUAAGGCGGGGUCGGUGACUGGGACGAAGUCGUAACAAGGUAACC
Molecule: ribosomal RNA, 1465 nt
Filed under: uncultured organism
Description: bacterial SSU rRNA
Rfam family: Bacterial small subunit ribosomal RNA
Source: RNAcentral